CCUACGGGUGGCAGCAGUGGGGAAUAUUGCGCAAUGGGCGAAAGCCUGACGCAGCGACGCCGCGUGAGGGAUGAAGGUCUUCGGAGCGUAAACCUCUUUUAGCAGGGAAGAACGGUCACUGUGCUAAUCAUCAGUGAAUUGACGGUACCUGCAAAGGAAGCACCGGCUAACUCCGGGCCAGCAGCCGCGGGAAUACGGAGGGUGCUAGCGUUAAUUGGAAUUAUUGGGCGUAAGGCGAGCGUAGGCGGUAUGUCAAGUCAAGGGUGAAAGCCCCGGGCUCAACGGGGGAACUGCCUUUGAUACUGGCAGACUGGAGUGUGUGAGAGGAUGGUGGAAUUCCAGGUGUAGGGGUGAAAUGCGUAGAUAUCAGGAAGAACAUCAGUGGCGAAGGCGACUAUCUGGCACAUAACUGACGCUGAGGAGCGAAAGCGUGGGUAGCAAACAGGAUUAGAUACCCCAGUAGUC
Molecule: ribosomal RNA, 465 nt
Filed under: uncultured bacterium
Lineage: Bacteria
Description: partial 16S ribosomal RNA
Rfam family: Bacterial small subunit ribosomal RNA
Source: RNAcentral